AGAACGAACGCUGGCGGCAUGCCUAACACAUGCAAGUCGAACGCUUCACCGGUUUCGGCCGGUGGGGAGUGGCGCACGGGUGAGUAGCGCGUGGGAACCUGCCCUGUUGUGGGGGAUAACCGAGGGAAACUUCGGCUAAUACCGCAUAAGCCGGUUGUCUUGAAAGAGAUGGCCGGGAAAGAUUUAUCGCGACAGGAGGGGCCCGCGUCGGAUUAGCUAGUUGGUGGGGUAACGGCCCACCAAGGCAGUGAUCCGUAGCUGGUCUGAGAGGAUGAUCAGCCACACUGGGACUGAGACACGGCCCAGACUCCUACGGGAGGCAGCAGUGGGGAAUAUUGGACAAUGGGCGCAAGCCUGAUCCAGCAAUGCCGCGUGAGUGAUGAAGGCCUUAGGGUUGUAAAGCUCUUUCGCCCGCGACGAUGAUGACGGUAGCGGAGAAGAAGCCCGGCUAACUUCGCGCCAGCAGCCGCGGUAA
Molecule: ribosomal RNA, 475 nt
Filed under: uncultured bacterium
Lineage: Bacteria
Description: SSU rRNA
Rfam family: Bacterial small subunit ribosomal RNA
Source: RNAcentral